AGAGUUUGAUCCUGGCUCAGAUUGAACGCUGGCGGCAUGCUUUACACAUGCAAGUCGAACGGCAGCGGGGGCUUCGGCCUGCCGGCGAGUGGCGAACGGGUGAGUAAUGCAUCGGAACGUGCCCAGUCAUGGGGGAUAACUACGCGAAAGCGUAGCUAAUACCGCAUACGCCCUGAGGGGGAAAGCGGGGGAUCGCAAGACCUCGCGUGAUUGGAGCGGCCGAUGUCGGAUUAGCUGGUUGGUGGGGUAAAGGCCUACCAAGGCGACGAUCCGUAGCGGGUCUGAGAGGAUGAUCCGCCACACUGGGACUGAGACACGGCCCAGACUCCUACGGGAGGCAGCAGUGGGGAAUUUUGGACAAUGGGGGCAACCCUGAUCCAGCCAUGCCGCGUGAGUGAAGAAGGCCUUCGGGUUGUAAAGCUCUUUCAGACGGAAAGAAAUCGGGCGGGUGAA
Molecule: ribosomal RNA, 453 nt
Filed under: uncultured bacterium
Lineage: Bacteria
Description: bacterial SSU rRNA
Rfam family: Bacterial small subunit ribosomal RNA
Source: RNAcentral